GUGGGGAAUAUUGGACAAUGGGCGAAAGCCUGAUCCAGCCAUGCCGCGUGUGUGAAGAAGGUCUUCGGAUUGUAAAGCACUUUAAGUUGGGAGGAAGGGCAUUAACCUAAUACGUUAGUGUUUUGACGUUACCGACAGAAUAAGCACCGGCUAACUUCGUGCCAGCAGCCGCGGUAAUACGAAGGGUGCAAGCGUUAAUCGGAAUUACUGGGCGUAAAGCGCGCGUAGGUGGUUCGUUAAGUUGGAUGUGAAAGCCCCGGGCUCAACCUGGGAACUGCAUCCAAAACUGGCGAGCUAGAGUACGGUAGAGGGUGGUGGAAUUUCCUGUGUAGCGGUGAAAUGCGUAGAUAUAGGAAGGAACACCAGUGGCGAAGGCGACCACCUGGACUGAUACUGACACUGAGGUGCGAAAGCGUGGGGAGCAAACAGGAUUAGAAACCCCAGUAGUCC
This 450-nucleotide ribosomal RNA is filed under the name uncultured bacterium. RNAcentral describes it as "partial 16S ribosomal RNA". It matches the Rfam family "Bacterial small subunit ribosomal RNA", at positions 354 to 796 of the family's 1533-position model. The record is from RNAcentral.